RNAcentral lists this ribosomal RNA (1550 nucleotides) under Klebsiella pneumoniae. RNAcentral's name for it is "bacterial SSU rRNA". It matches the Rfam family "Bacterial small subunit ribosomal RNA". Lineage: Bacteria; Pseudomonadati; Pseudomonadota; Gammaproteobacteria; Enterobacterales; Enterobacteriaceae. The record is from RNAcentral.
AAAUUGAAGAGUUUGAUCAUGGCUCAGAUUGAACGCUGGCGGCAGGCCUAACACAUGCAAGUCGAGCGGUAGCACAGAGAGCUUGCUCUCGGGUGACGAGCGGCGGACGGGUGAGUAAUGUCUGGGAAACUGCCUGAUGGAGGGGGAUAACUACUGGAAACGGUAGCUAAUACCGCAUAANGUCGCAAGACCAAAGUGGGGGACCUUCGGGCCUCAUGCCAUCAGAUGUGCCCAGAUGGGAUUAGCUAGUAGGUGGGGUAANGGCUCACCUAGGCGACGAUCCCUAGCUGGUCUGAGAGGAUGACCAGCCACACUGGAACUGAGACACGGUCCAGACUCCUACGGGAGGCAGCAGUGGGGAAUAUUGCACAAUGGGCGCAAGCCUGAUGCAGCCAUGCCGCGUGUGUGAAGAAGGCCUUCGGGUUGUAAAGCACUUUCAGCGGGGAGGAAGGCGNUNAGGUUAAUAACCUNNNCGAUUGACGUUACCCGCAGAAGAAGCACCGGCUAACUCCGUGCCAGCAGCCGCGGUAAUACGGAGGGUGCAAGCGUUAAUCGGAAUUACUGGGCGUAAAGCGCACGCAGGCGGUCUGUCAAGUCGGAUGUGAAAUCCCCGGGCUNAACCUGGGAACUGCAUUCGAAACUGGCAGGCUAGAGUCUUGUAGAGGGGGGUAGAAUUCCAGGUGUAGCGGUGAAAUGCGUAGAGAUCUGGAGGAAUACCGGUGGCGAAGGCGGCCCCCUGGACAAAGACUGACGCUCAGGUGCGAAAGCGUGGGGAGCAAACAGGAUUAGAUACCCUGGUAGUCCACGCCGUAAACGAUGUCGAUUUGGAGGUUGUGCCCUUGAGGCGUGGCUUCCGGAGCUAACGCGUUAAAUCGACCGCCUGGGGAGUACGGCCGCAAGGUUAAAACUCAAAUGAAUUGACGGGGGCCCGCACAAGCGGUGGAGCAUGUGGUUUAAUUCGAUGCAACGCGAAGAACCUUACCUGGUCUUGACAUCCACAGAACUUNNCAGAGAUGNNUUGGUGCCUUCGGGAACUGUGAGACAGGUGCUGCAUGGCUGUCGUCAGCUCGUGUUGUGAAAUGUUGGGUUAAGUCCCGCAACGAGCGCAACCCUUAUCCUUUGUUGCCAGCGGUNNGGCCGGGAACUCAAAGGAGACUGCCAGUGAUAAACUGGAGGAAGGUGGGGAUGACGUCAAGUCAUCAUGGCCCUUACGACCAGGGCUACACACGUGCUACAAUGGCAUAUACAAAGAGAAGCGACCUCGCGAGAGCAAGCGGACCUCAUAAAGUAUGUCGUAGUCCGGAUUGGAGUCUGCAACUCGACUCCAUGAAGUCGGAAUCGCUAGUAAUCGUAGAUCAGAAUGCUACGGUGAAUACGUUCCCGGGCCUUGUACACACCGCCCGUCACACCAUGGGAGUGGGUUGCAAAAGAAGUAGGUAGCUUAACCUUCGGGAGGGCGCUUACCACUUUGUGAUUCAUGACUGGGGUGAAGUCGUAACAAGGUAACCGUAGGGGAACCUGCGGUUGGAUCACCUCCUUACCUUAAAGAA